Non-coding RNA from Trichosporon asahii var. asahii CBS 2479, 97 nucleotides. The record is from the annotation of a RefSeq genome assembly. NCBI's taxonomy places the organism in Eukaryota, Fungi, Basidiomycota, Tremellomycetes, Trichosporonales, Trichosporonaceae.
UCUUCGCUAGUAUAUCGGUUAGUAUAAUCGCCUCUCAAGAGAGCGCCACUCGCUCGAGUGUUCGCGAUAGAGCAGGGUUCGACUCCCUGGCGGAGAA